AUCCAGGAUGCAGGGCAACACACAAGAUCUCGUCUUCAGCAAACCCCAGGGACUGGCACCGAGUGAGCAUGUUCAGAGCAGCCUACGAGGGAGACACAGAAGCAGACGGAUGGAUAUGACGAUGUGACCUUCAGUCUAUGAAAACUCCUUUCACAAUGAAAUCAAAAGGAUGCAACGCAACGCAAAGGAUCUUGUCUUCAGCCAGUCCCAGGCCCUGACACCGAGUGAGCACGUUCAGAGCAGCCUAGGAGGAACAUGGGCCAGAAGCAGGAGGGAGUGAAUGAUGCAUUCAAUUCUGUUCUUAAUUUUAAUGACAUAAACUGAGCAAAUACUUCAGCCUUUGCAUAGUAUGCACGCCCCUACCUUGCUGCAGCGGUAAUUAAUGAUGUGUCCUACAUUCCACCCAAGGACCUCGGUGAUGGAGCCACUUGCACUGGACACAUUGACAAUGGC
Eublepharis macularius is the source of this 453-nucleotide long non-coding RNA. RefSeq lists it as uncharacterized. The record is from RefSeq and is a predicted model, not a curated record. The transcript is spliced from 3 exons. NCBI's taxonomy places the organism in Eukaryota, Metazoa, Chordata, Lepidosauria, Squamata, Eublepharidae.